RNAcentral lists this long non-coding RNA (742 nucleotides) under Mustela putorius furo (domestic ferret). RNAcentral's name for it is "lncRNA (ENSMPUG00000025650.1)". The record is from RNAcentral. Lineage: Eukaryota; Metazoa; Chordata; Mammalia; Carnivora; Mustelidae.
GGAACCCAGAGGUUCUGCUCUGUGCACAGUGGGUACGUGGGGUGCCCUGUUUCUGGCUCCCAUGAUGGCCAUCCAUCUCCAGAGAAUGAGGUUUGAAAACCAAUGGUCCAGUGAUUUCCAACUCUGGCUUUGGCAGCCUAUUCAGAAUUAUCAUAUUGUUAUGAAGGGGUAGGUGUAAAAUUCACACAAAGAUCUGGGAUUAAUUGUCUAUGCUCAUUCAUUUAUUCAUUCAUUCUUUCUUUCCACAUUUGCUGAGAUCCUUCCGUUUGCUGGAAGGAUGUAUUUGCUACAAAUGUGCAGGAGGCUGAGUCUUGAAGGUGGCCAUGAUGUGGUCCCUGUUUUCAGGAAUCUGCAGAAGAGUGGGGUGGGCCCUCUGUUCAUGUUGGCUGUGAGGACAGAUGAAUUCUGCUGGAACAGGGUGGAAGAGGACCUUGUGAAUGGGGUGAUGUUGACUCAAGAUCAUGAAGGACAAGUAAAGUUCACCGGGGACAACACUGAGGGGAAGCCACGAAUCUCUCCAGAAAAAGCCUGAUCUGAGAAGGCAGCGUGUUUUGUGAGGAUGAACAAGGGAUAGGACGGCCGCUUUACCACCUUAACGUUCAAAAGGAGGAAACACGCCAAAAUCACGGAGAGCAUCUGUGAUCCACGAUCCUUGAUGCAGACAUAGCAGAGAGUACGAGAAGAACGAAGAAAAAGAGAAAAGUAAGAUGCUCUCUUCGAAGCAUUUUGCUUUUCAUCUACC